Long non-coding RNA from Peromyscus leucopus (white-footed mouse), 502 nucleotides. RefSeq lists it as uncharacterized. The transcript has 2 exons. The record is from RefSeq and is a predicted model, not a curated record. Lineage: Eukaryota; Metazoa; Chordata; Mammalia; Rodentia; Cricetidae.
GCGCAGUUACAUUGCUGCAAUGGUCUACAGAGGAUUCAAGAGAAUUUGAUAAUUGGAAGAGAUUGUGAAUAUGGACAAGGUAGUCAGUGUGCAGAAGCCCAGAGAUGCUAGAGCACAUUGUUAAUGAAGACAUAUCUCCUGCAAUAGCAGUAUAUGAAAGCAGUUUGUAUAUAAGAGACAUCAUUGCCCAUUCACUCAGAUAUGCACUUCAGUGGUCAACAUGAAGGGAAACCAAAUGGGUAUCAGAAGAUGUGGAAAAGGAUUUAAACAUAAGAAAUGUUGGAAAAUUUUCACUCAUUCUGAGUUUUUCUGUCGUUUUCACCUUACCUAGUAAUGCAUCCUCUGACAGAACAUGUUUGCCUCAUCCUCAAUGUCUUUGAUAUGAACUGAACUGGUAAACACUGGUGGCCAAGUUUAACCCUGGGAUUUUAGUUUCUUGGAUGAAAUCACUGUGACUGUCUGGAGUAGAAAUAUACAAAUAUAUUCUGUAGCAUUUAUGUUG